RNAcentral lists this ribosomal RNA (497 nucleotides) under uncultured bacterium. Its description in RNAcentral is "partial 16S ribosomal RNA". It matches the Rfam family "Bacterial small subunit ribosomal RNA", at positions 28 to 507 of the family's 1533-position model. The record is from RNAcentral.
GAUGAACGCUGGCGGCGUGCCUAAUACAUGCAAGUCGAGCGAACAGACGAGGAGCUUGCUCCUCUGACGUUAGCGGCGGACGGGUGAGUAACACGUGGAUAACCUACCUAUAAGACUGGGAUAACUUCGGGAAACCGGAGCUAAUACCGGAUAAUAUAUUGAACCGCAUGGUUCAAUAGUGAAAGACGGUUUUGCUGUCACUUAUAGAUGGAUCCGCGCCGCAUUAGCUAGUUGGUAAGGUAACGGCUUACCAAGGCAACGAUGCGUAGCCGACCUGAGAGGGGGAUCGGCCACACUGGAAGUGAGACGCGGUCCAGACUCCUACGGGAGGCAGCAGUAGGGAAUCGGCGGCAAUGGGCGAAAGCCUGACGGAGCAACGCCGCGUGAAUGAUGAAGGUCUUCGGAUCGUAAAACUCUGUUAUUAGGGAAGAACAAAUGUGUAAGUAACUAUGCACGUCUUGACGGUACCUAAUCAGAAAGCCACGGCUAACUACGUG